GGCUGGUCCGAAGGUAGUGAGUUAUCUCACUUGAUUGUUCAGUUACAGAUUGAACUCCUUGUUCUAAUCUUUCCCCCUUCUCACUACUGUACUUGACUAGUAUUAA
Unclassified non-coding RNA from Otolemur garnettii (small-eared galago), 106 nucleotides. It matches the Rfam family "Y RNA". From Rfam's summary of the family: Y RNAs are components of the Ro ribonucleoprotein particle (Ro RNP), in association with Ro60 and La proteins. The Y RNAs and Ro60 and La proteins are well conserved, but the function of the Ro RNP is not known. NCBI's taxonomy places the organism in Eukaryota, Metazoa, Chordata, Mammalia, Primates, Galagidae. The record is from Ensembl.